CAUGGUUCCGAAAUAUCAAAACUGCAUCCACCAUCCACUUCCUAAUGUAAAGCAGGCUUAACAAACAAAACAUCUUCCGAAUACAAGGAUCGAUGAUCAACCUAGUUCAUCCUCCUGACGAGCUGGUUGAUGUAGUUCUCGCGGUUGCCAGCGUCACCGCCCUCGACGUAGUGGUUCCUCUUCUUCUUGAGGCCUCCCAGCGGCGCCUUCAGCUUGAAUGGCCACAGGAAGUUGCUGGCCUCCUUGAAGUGAAGGCCAACGGUCAGGAUCUCGUGGACAAGGUCCUUAAUGCAGAUGAUGUUGUACUUUCCAAGACCCUGACAAUUAUUAGACAACCAAAAUUGUCAGAAUCACACCAAAGUUGCAUUUGGAGAUGCAAAGUAAAGAGCCAUAUGUUGGGCAAUCGACUGCUCACCUCCUUAGUGACCUUGUUAUUGGUUAGAGGAAUCCUUUGCUUGUUGAGCUUUCCAUAGCCUCUCUUGUAGAUCAAAUCCCUCACGAUCUUCAAGUUCGGGUACCUAUUAUAUCCAUUUAGCUCUAGUGCCCAUGCCAUGAGGUCCUCAAGUUGUCGCUAUGACGCGGAGUACGAAAAAUUGCUUCAACAUCGAGGGGAAGAAAAGCCUGGUGCGGGAGUGGUAUAUCCCUGCCGUGUUUGUCAUCCAUGAACCCAAAGACUCUCCGAUGGAGGCAUCUUCCCCGAGGAAUAACGGGUUUAGCCGAGAAGCAAGGAGGGAUCCAUGUAUAUUGCACCAAAUCCGGAAUUUAUGUCCAGCCAAUAUGCCAAAUCGGCCCUUACUGGAGAAGAUCGAAUCCUUGCUGACCUUGUGUGUGCCUCUUCAAAAAUGGUGUGACCGCACAGCCUGUUCUCCACCCACAUUACCUAUAUCAAAUGUUCAAGGUCUUCAGCAAUGUUUGUGGUCUUGAAUAUAUUUUUGAAUGAGAUUUUGGGAGGAUUAUUUCACGGUGUGCGUGGAAAACACAACAUGAUUGAACAAAUCAUAAGUACCUCACCUCCUUGAAGGCUAUGACUUAAUCACGCAUAGGCUACGUUCAACAAUGACAUAGUUCUGAUGAGUUCCGGUGGAACCUUCACAAGAACUGGAAGUUCUCAGUCAGAUCUAUAUACCGGAUUUUCCUCCACUACGAUGCCCCAAUUAAUUGAAAAAAUAUGAAGCUUAAAACCCUUGUCCUCGUGGGGGCGCUAGCACUGUAUUAGUGUCUUUGACUAUUUAAAAAUUAUCGGCUUUUUCAAAAGAAAGAAAAAAAACUCCAUUGCAGAUUGCCUUUUCAUGUAGCGCUGACUCUGUUUUUAGUGUACUCUACACCGACCGGAGCACCUGGCAGUUCCCUAUGCGAAAUGUAUGCAUAUGCAGCGUGCGUCCAAGAGAUAUUUACCAAACAUGGAUCGUCUUCAGAUCGGACUUCCGUCACAUUGAGUUGGCUGUGUUAUUUUCCUUUUUGUUGUAGACUAGCCAGUCUUGCCUGGGUUGUGUACGUUCUAGCGAUAUAGAGGCUAAUUGUGAACUUUUCACUUGUAUUGCUCUGGUGUGUGUUUUGUGUCAUGAAAACUACCUUUAUGAAAAAAGCAUUGUCACGCAUAUACAUUGUAGUCCUCGAAUUGUAGUCGUCUGGGGAUAAUGGGAUAUGCUUCCUCAUGAAGCUCCUAAACUCAUCGCACUUGUGCACUCAGCUAAUCUUGGGUCAUUGUUGUUUAAGCAAAUGAAACGAUGUACUUUGUCUAUUAAGGGUGCUCUCAGCUAACCUAUCUCGCAUUCUCGCGUCAUACUACGAAACUGAUGUCCACGGCAGCUUCCAAGCCAGAACAUACUAGAAAAUUUUAUACUAUGACUUUUUUUGCCUUCUUUCGAUGUGCCAUGCUUGGCUUAAGGUCAAAACAUUAAUUCGUUGGCUACUAUAAUAUAGUAGCUAUUGACUGGCUAGUGUUUCUAACUCUAGUUCUACGGGUUUUUUUUUUGUUUGUUUGUUUUUUUUAAACGAGGCAAAAGACUUGCCAUUUUUAUUGAUUAAGAAGAAGUGAGAAUUGCCUGGUUAAUUGACGGAAAACCGGGCUAAAACCAAUACAACCCAACCCAUAUAACAUGGGCACCACCGGCCAACCUGACCACCGACAUGAAACAUGAGCUGCAAAGAAGAAAAGACAUCCGCCGGGAAGUCGCAAGCGUCAUCGUCAUCACCGGUUACCUCCGAACGGGCGACUCCGACUUCACCAUAGAGCUCCACCAACGAAGCCUCCCCCACAAACAGCUACACAGAGCAAUGACGGCACAUGCCAACAGAUGGCCACACGCGCCAACAACCGACAACUCCGACUUUGACGACGAUCCUCACAAGGGAACCAAGCUCCUCUUGACGCCAUCAUCGUUGCCAAACAGAAAUUGGCGCCCCCGAAACGGCCGCCUCAGCAAACCACGCGGCGAAGAUGCCGCCCUUCCACGCGGCGAAGAUGCCGCCAUCCCACGCGGCGAAGAUGCCGCCAUCCACCGGUCUCAGGUUGUAGACGGCUCCAAGACGAUGCCCCCAAGGAGGAAGAAGACGUGAAGACGCCUUCAUCGCCCGAUCCCGCAGAUCAGAGGUUUCCCUCCGGAGCCAAGGCCGCGGGGUGAGGGAUGGAGCACCAUACAUCAGCGACGCUUCCAAGAAAGAGUGCGACGCCCAAUCUCCACUGAGAAAAACAAGACGUAUGGUCAUUAUUUUGUUGCUCUUGCAAACAACGCGGACAUAAAUCUCUACGAAAUCACAAAACCAUAGAUCAUUGAAGACUUUUACAGGCAAGAGCUAAUUUUUCAAAAAAGAAUGAAGGAGGAAAUAAAUAUAUAGAUUAGUCUGAAGGAAGUUAUUAUUCUUGUUAGUAAAUAAGGCUUCAUUGUAUGUCUAAGUUAUUUAGAAUAUUUUUAAAAUAAAAUAAAUUGCACUGCAGCGAGUCACUGCAAAAUUCAGUUUUCUUAGCCAUUGACAUUUCAUUGACAACCAAACCUCUAUACUAUUUCAAAGUGGCGUCAGUUUUCUUAGCCCAUUGACAUUUCAUUGACAACCAAAACUCUAUACUAUUUCAAAGUUGCCACUGGGCGGCAGUUGCAAAAGCCGGUACAACUGGGAGUCGAUCUAUCAGCAGACAUCAACAAUGAUCUUGUCAUGGCACAGGGUUAGAGCAUCUCCAACAGCCGCGCUAUGCGCCGCGCGCAAAAACCCUGUUUGCCGCGCGCGCUUCGGCUGGUUUAGCGCGGCCGCGAGCGCUGGCUCCAGCAGCCGCGCUAUAAUGCAGCGCGCGCGCGCCGCUCCAGCAGCGCGCAAAAAUACAGCGCGCGCGACUCGCUCCGCGCGCGCGACUUGGGUUUCGAAACAAUUAUCAAAAUGCAAUGAACAUUGAAAUUUGUCCACAAACAUCUUCCAACCAAGUCAUGCCCACAAGUUCAUCCAACCAAGUUCAAAAUGCAAAGUAAAAGUUCAAAACAUAUAAAUGAAAGACACAUCAAACAUCUUCCUCGUCUUCGUCCUCAUCUUCCGAAAAUGAAUCUUCCUCUCUAUCCUCAUCACGCAUCGCAUCACGUGAAGCUCCGACGGUGUUGACAAGAUCUUCAACGGUAUCUUCACGGGAAUGUGUGUGAGGAGGCACAUCAAAAGACAUUCCACCCAUGGCCGGAGGUGCACCCAUGCCUCCCAUAAGAGUAGCGAAACUCAUGCCUCCCAUAGCGGCCAUAGUGUCAGAGGGUGCUCCGAAGCCACCCAUGCCUCCCAUGGCGGUCGGAGGUGCGCCCAUGCCUCCCAUGGCGCCCAAGCCACCCAUGCCUCCCAUGGCGGCCGGAGGUGCACCCAUGCCUCCCAUGGCGCCGAAGCCACCCAUGCCUCCCAUGGCGCCGCCAAGGCCACCGCCACCCAUUGUGAGGAUCAUGGCUCUUUUUUGGAUCAAGACUUCUUCACGAGCAAGGUUGACAUAUUCCUUUUGCGCACCAUUGAACGAAGAUGUGUCCAAGAAGAACAAGUGCUUCUCCCAUUCCAACAACCUAGAUCGCUCCUUCAUGCCCACCUUCCUCUCCUCCAAUGCCACUUUCCUCUCCUUGGCGGCCACCCUCCUCUCCUCGGCCGCCAACCUCCUCUCCUCGGCCGCGGCAUCUUGGUUCCUUGCCAUUUUCCUCACCUCGUUGGCUUCUUUUCUUGCCUUCACAAUAGCUUCCAUAGCAUUUUUGAGCUCAUCAUCUCCUUUCCUCUUCUUCUUUUCGGUUUUGUCUUUCUUGCACCCAUCCGGUCGUUUUGGCUUCGAGUAUGAAACCGAGUUGGGUGUGGGGCUUCUCUUGCCGUCAUCACUUGAUGCAUCAUCCUCCUCAUCAUCAUCAUCCACCUUGCGUUUGUUGCUCAAAUGCAAAUCAUCCAAACCAUCACGAUUCUUCCAUUUCUCAUCAUUCUUUAACACUUCAUAGCAAUGAGACAAGGUAAAGACCCUUCCUUUCUUGAUCUUCCCUUUCUUGGUGGUCCUCGUCUUUUCUUUGAACAAGUUUUGUGCAAUGUUGAACUACAAGAAAAACAAAACAAGUUAGCACUUCGGACACCAAGAACAAGUAUGAGAUGAACAUAUAUGAGAUGACACUUACUCUAUCAUCCUCAUUUGUGCCACUUGGGUUAAUCUUGUCAACAGACUUUUGUGCGGCCGCCCACUUUUGACAAUCCGAGUUGAUUGUGAACCAUCAGGACCGAAGUGAUCUCUCUGAGCGGUCAAUUCCACUCAUGUUGUGAGCAUCAAAGUAUUCUUUCAUUCACCCCCAAUACGCAUCUCUACUUUGAUCACCUUCAAUGGAUGGAUCCCUUGACACUUGCAAAUAAGUAUUGCAUAGUAACUUGUCAUCGUUGGUGCUGUAAUUGCCCGCUCUUCCUUUCGGCGCGUCGACAAUGCCCUCACCCUCCUCGUCCACCUCAAAUUCAUGGUCUUCCAAAUGGAUGUCAUUGGUUUGAGACCAAUGCGAAUUGUUGGACCCAACACCCAUAGUUGACAUGUAUGCAUCAUCAUUGAGACUAAAAAAAUUUUUUGAACAAUGCACAUAAGCUAUCUAUAUGUGAUGAUGCAUUGAAAAACAAAAAGAAAAUAAAAGUUAGAAUUUUUUUCACCUUGGGGGCAUUUCGUCGAACACAUGGUGCGCGUCGGCGGCCGGCUCAACGAGUGAGCUCGUCGGCGCUUCGGUAGCCGCCGCGGCCGUCGAACGCCCUGCAAGCUUCUUUCCCCUCGCCUUCGUGCCGCCGGAGCCGUCCGCCGCCUUGUUUUUCUUCGCCGAAGUUUUGCCCUUCUUCGGCCGCGCUGCAUUGGGGAGCUUCGACGGUGCGGCGGCGGCAUGGGACGGCGCCGGCGCGACGCCACCCGUCGCCGUGGUCAUCAGCGGUGGCAAGAAGAGGCUGCGCGCGAGGCCGGCGCGAGGCGGAGCUCCGGCGGUGGCGACGCCAACGCUAACCGCGCUAGGGUUUCCGGCAGCGNNNNNNNNNNNNNNNNNNNNNNNNNNNNNNNNNNNNNNNNNNNNNNNNNNNNNNNNNNNNNNNNNNNNNNNNNNNNNNNNNNNNNNNNNNNNNNNNNNNNNNNNNNNNNNNNNNNNNNNNNNNNNNNNNNNNNNNNNNNNNNNNNNNNNNNNNNNNNNNNNNNNNNNNNNNNNNNNNNNNNNNNNNNNNNNNNNNNNNNNNNNNNNNNNNNNNNNNNNNNNNNNNNNNNNNNNNNNNNNNNNNNNNNNNNNNNNNNNNNNNNNNNNNNNNNNNNNNNNNNNNNNNNNNNNNNNNNNNNNNNNNUGGCGCUGGCGCCGGCGCGUGCGGGGCGUAGGAGGAGGAAAGGAGGAAAGGAGAGAGUACGGCGCGAGCGGUCGAGUGUGCCGCGCGCUGUACCAGGCGCCCGAAAUACGCCGCGCGGAAUGGCGUUUCCGACAGCGCGCCCAACUCGGUUUAGCGCGCGCGCCGUUAUUGCGCGCCCGCUAGAGCGACCCGCCGCGUUGCGCGUGCGCUAAAACCGACGAAUUUACGGCGCGGCGCUAGUUUAGCGCGGCUGUUGAAGAUGCUCUUAGAUACACAACGGCUGAACAAGGCGAUGUUGAUCAGACCACCUUCGGCACGAGCAAGUUGAUGCCAUCCCUGCAUGAUGCAGGAGGUGACCCAGUUGGCACCUCGUAAAACCAAGGUUGGAUGUGUUUCCUCGUACCUCCUAAUCCAAUUCUGCUCAUCGGCCAGUUGCCCUGUUGCCUCUAGUUGUUCCAAGAGGAUUUGAGUAUGGGACGAGGAGUUCGACCACUCGACGGUGUAUAAUAUAUAUUCUCCAUGACCUUUACAUGUAUUGUUGCCAGGGCAGAACAUGCUUCAUCAAUCUCUCCUUGGUUAUUCCAAAUGCAUUCAGCGUAUGGUUGGUCAGUCAUCGUUAAUGUGUGACAGAUGUUUGGUUGUUUUAGCCCGAAUGGGAAUGUGCUCCUCCCAUUUUCCUUUCUCAAGUCCGUCUGCGUCGGCUCAUCCAAACCGGGAUGUUUUUGAUUGUUUUAGUCAGAAUUUCCAGCCCAACAGAAAUUUUACGCAGAACUAACAAGUUAGAAGAAAAAAUUACAAAACCCAACAUGGAAGUACUAGGCUGACAGCAACGAGAAACGUAUUCGCGGCACAUAGCAGGAGGCAUUAAACACGGUCUCAAAACCUCCACAUACAUAGUCAGAUUCUUCCAAACAUGCAUCAUGGUUCCGAAAUAUCAAAACUGCAUCCACCAUCCACUUCCUAAUGUAAAGCAGGCUUAACAAACAAAACAUCUUCCGAAUACAAGGGGGAUCAUCGAUGAUCAACCUAGUUCAUCCUCCUGACGAGCUGGUUGAUGUAGUUCUCGCGGUUGCCGGCGUCACCACCCUCGACGUAGUGGUUCCUCUUCUUCUUGAGGCCUCCCAGCGGCGCCUUCAGCUUGAAUGGCCACAGGAAGUUGUUGGCCUCCUUGAAGUGAAGGCCAAUGGUCAGGAUCUCGUGGACAAGGUCCUUAAUGCAGAUGAUGUUGUGCUUUCCAAGACCCUGACAAUUAUUAGACAACCAAAAUUGUCAGAAUCACACCAAAGUUGCAUUUGGAGAUGCAAAGUAAAGAGCCAUAUGUUGGGCAAUCGACUGCUCACCUCCUUAGUGACCUUGUUAUUGGUUAGAGGAAUCCUUUGCUUGUUGAGCUUUCCAUAGCCUCUCUUGUAGAUCAAAUCCCUCACGAUCUUCAAGUUCGGGUACCUAUUAUAUCCGUUUAGCUCUAGUGCCCAUGCCAUGAGGUCCUCAAGUUGUCGCUAUGACGCGGAGUACGAAAAAUUGCUUCAACAUCAAGGGGAAGAAAAGCCUGGUGCGGGAGUGGUAUAUCCCUGCCAUGUUUGUCAUCCAUGAACCCAAAGACUCUCCGAUGGAGGCAUCUUCCCCGAGGAAUAACGGGUUUAGCCGAGAAGCAAGGAGGGAUCCAUGUAUAUUGCACCAAAUCCGGAAUUUAUGUCCAGCCAAUAUGCCAAAUCGGCCCUUACUGGAGAAGAUCGAAUCCUUGCUGACCUUGUGUGUGCCUCUUCAAAAAUGGUGUGACCGCACAGCCUGUUCUCCACCCACAUUACCUAUAUCAAAUGUUCAAGGUCUUCAGCAAUGUUUGUGGUCUUGAAUAUAUUUUUGAAUGAGAUUUUGGGAGGAUUAUUUCACGGUGUGCGUGGAAAACACAACAUGAUUGAACAAAUCCUAAGUACCUCACCUCCUUGAAGGCUAUGACUUAAUCACGCAUAGGCUACGUUCAACAAUGACAUAGUUCUGAUGAGUUCCGGUGGAACCUUCACAAGAACCGGAAGUUCUCAGUCAGAUCUAUAUACCGGAUUUUCCUCCACUAUGAUGCCCCAAUUAAUUGAAAAAAUAUGAAGCUUAAAACCCUUGUCCUCGUGGGGGCGCUAGCAUUGUAUUAGUGCCUUUGACUAUUUAAAAAUUAUCGGCUUUUUCAAAAGAAAGAAAAAAAAAACUCCAUUGUAGAUUGCCUUUUCAUGUAGCGCUGACUCUGUUUUUAGUGUACUCUACACCGACCGGAGCACCUGGCAGUUCCCUAUGCGAAAUGUAUGCAUAUGCAGCGUGCGUCCAAGAGAUAUUUACCAAACAUGGAUCGUCUUCAGAUCGGACUUCCGUCACAUUGAGUUGGCUGUGUUAUUUUCCUUUUUGUUGUAGACUAGCCAGUCUUGCCUGGGUUGUGUACGUUCUAGCGAUAUAGAGGCUAAUUGUGAACUUUUCACUUGUAUUGCUCUGGUGUGUGUUUUGUGUCAUGAAAACUACCUUUAUGAAAAAAGCAUUGUCACGCAUAUACAUUGCAGUCCUCGAAUUGUAGUCGUCUGGGGAUAAUGGGAUAUGCUUCCUCAUGAAGCUCCUAAACUCAUCGCACUUGUGCACUUAAUCUUGGGUCAUUGUUGUUUAAGCAAAUGAAAUGAUGUACUUUGUCAUUAACGGUGCUCUCAGCUAACCUAUCUUGCAUUCUCGCGUCAUACUACGAAACUGAUGUCCACGGCAGCUUCCAAGCCAGAACAUACUAGAAAAUUUCAUACUAGGACUUUGUUUGCCUUCUUUCGAUGUGCCAUGCUUGGCUUAAGGUCAAAACAUUAAUUCGCUGGCUACUAUAAUAUACUCCCUCUGUAAACUAAUAUAAGAGUGUUUAGAUCACUAUUUUAGUAUUCUAAACGCUCUUAUAUUAGUUUACGGAGGGAAUAGUAGCUAUUGACUGGCUAGUGUUUCUACUGAGAUAAACAAAACGUAUGGUCAUUAGUUUGUUGCUCUUGCAAACAACGCGGACAUAAAUCUCUACGAAAUCACAAAACCAUAUAUCAUUGAAGACUCUUACAGGCAAGAGCUAAUUUUUCAAAAAAAAAUGAAAGAGGAAAUAAAUAUAUAGAUUAGUUUGAAGGAAGUUAUUAUUCACGUUAAUAAAUCAGGCUUCAUUGUAUGUCUAAGUUAUUUAGAAUAUUUGUAAAAUAAAAUAAAUUGCACUGCAGCGAGUCACCGCCAACAUUCAGUUUUCUUAGCCCAUUGACAUUUCAUUGACAACCAAACCUCUAUACUAUUUCAAAGUUGCCACUGGGCAGUUGCAAAAGCAGGUACAACUGGGAGUCGAUAUAGGAGCAAACAUCAACAAUGAUCUUGUCAUGGCACAGGGGUUAGAGACACAACGGCUCAACAAGGCGCUAUUGAUCAGACCACCUUCGGCACGAGCAAGUUGAUGCCAUCCCUGCAUGAUGCAGGAGGUGACCUAGUUGGCACCUCGUCAAACCAAGGUUGGAUGUGUUUCCUCAUACCUCCUAAUCCAAUUCUGCUCAUCGGCAUGUUGCGGUAUUGCCUCUAGUUGUUCUAAUACUAGAGGAUGAACCAUUCUCGCUCUUAAGAGGAUUUGAGUAGGGGAUGAGGAGUUCAACCACUCGACGGUGUACCGUUGACCUUUACAUGUACCGUUGCCAGGGCAGAACGUACUUCAUCAUCAAUCUCUCCUUGGCGUAUGGUUGGUCAGCAAUCGUUAAUGGGUGACAGACGUUUGGUUGUUUUAGUCCGAAUGGGAAUGAUUUGAGUGGGAAUGUGCUCCUCCCAUUUUCCUUUCUCAAGUCCGUCUGCGUCGGCUCAUCCAAAUCGGGAUGUUGUUUGUUUGUUUUAGUCAGAAUUUCCGGCCCAACAACAGAAAAUUUUACGCAGAACUAACAAGCUAGAAGAAAAAAAUUACACCACAUGAAGUGCUAGGCUGACAACAAUAAGAAACGUAUUCGCGGAACACAGCAAGAGGCAUUAAACACGGUCUCAAAACCUCCACAUACAUAGUCACAUUCUUCCAAAAACAUGCAUCAUGGUUCCGAAAUAUCAAAACUGCAUCCACCAUCCACUUCCUAAUGUAAAGCAGGCUUAACAAACAAAACAUCUUCCGAAUACAAGGGGGAUCAUCGAUGAUCAACCUAGUUCAUCCUCCUGACGAGCUGGUUGAUGUAG
RNAcentral lists this long non-coding RNA (9966 nucleotides) under Triticum aestivum (bread wheat). Its description in RNAcentral is "long non-coding RNA (TAES_LNC008013)". Lineage: Eukaryota; Viridiplantae; Streptophyta; Magnoliopsida; Poales; Poaceae. The record is from RNAcentral.